UUUUCUAAUAAAAUAAUGCCGGUGGCUUUAUUGCAAAGAAAAAACAAGUACACCAAACAAAACUAGAAACACAACCAUUAAAUAAAUGUCUCCUUUUCUAAGAGACUCCACCGACACAAAGCCCUCAAGCCAACAAUGUAAAAGACAAUGAAAUAACAAAUAUCAACAAGAACCCUCAACUCGAAACUGUAAAAGCCGAGCCUCAAGGUGGAUCAAAGAGUCGUCUGUCAACAACAACCACAAGAGUAGUAGCCAACAAUAGAGCUUCCUCCACCCAUAACCUAUCUUCCAGCCGUAAUAUACCUUCCUGAGCCACUGCAUGUGCAAACUGAUUGCCAAAUCUUUCAAGGAAAGCAAAUCGACACUCCAGAAAUGCCCGAGAGAGCCCCUUCGCUUCCCAAAUUAAGGCUCUAAUUUAUGAGAAAUCAUUAGACUCAGUUUGCAACUUUUGAACAACCGCCCGUGCGUCACUUUCCAACACAACAAACCGGAACCUCAGAUUGACAGCAAUUCAUAGCUUGUGAAGAACAACUAAAGCUUUUGCGGAAAGACCGAAAAGACAACUAAAGUAACUUGACUGCAUGCCCCCAUAAUCAUUCCGGAUGCAUCCCUUAUAAUAACUCCUGAGCACACUUUCCGCUAUUGAAGGGAAAAACAAGCAUCAACAUUUACUUUUACAAAUGUUGCUGGAGGAGGAUUCCAUCAGACCAACUUGCUUGGGAAUAAUUGACCCACAUUGGACGCAAGCACAUCAAGCUCAGAGCAAUACCCGUGAACAAAGGUAACCACAUCUCGUACCCCCUGAAUAACUCCUUCAUGAUACAAUGAUUCCUAGCAUACCACAACGCCCAAAGAAUCACUGCAAUUUCUAACCUUUUACGCACAGGGUGACGAUCAAAUAUCCAAGAGAGCCAGUCUUUAAAGCUCAUUCGCACAUCAUUACUGGGGCAUCCAUAGUGAAAAGCCAACCAAACAUUCCUAGCAAAAGCACAGUGGCGCAGGACAUGGCUCACAUCCUCAUUGGCUACAUGACAACGAGGACAGUGGGUAUCAUUCGCAAUUCUCUUAUUGUAAAGACAUAAUUUUGUAGGCACAAACUGAUUAAUGAAUUUCCACAAAGCAAUUUUAAUUUUUGAGGGGCACGAAAGCUCCCAAACCUACUGACAAAGCCGUGUAUCCAUUAGAGAUACACUAGCAGGGCCCAACAGCAUUCGGUCCCCACUGCUGACACUUUAUACACUAAAAUAAAAUAUAAAACAUAACUAAAAUAUAAUAAAAGUACUUGUAUUCAAUCUCAUUUCGUGCGAAAACUAGUUUAAUCUGUUACACUGAAUUAUAGCAGAUCAGUAGCCUUGGAUUCGUCCCUCUGUACAAGAUUAUUUGCAACC
This 1388-nucleotide long non-coding RNA is filed under the name Gossypium raimondii (Peruvian cotton). RNAcentral's name for it is "long non-coding RNA (GRAI_LNC003827)". The record is from RNAcentral. Lineage: Eukaryota; Viridiplantae; Streptophyta; Magnoliopsida; Malvales; Malvaceae.